GGGGAUUUAGCUCAGCGGCAUAAGCACCUGUCUUGCAAGUAGGCAGUUGUGAGUUCGAUCCCCAGUACCCA
Molecule: transfer RNA, 71 nt
Organism: Cavia porcellus (domestic guinea pig)
Lineage: Eukaryota; Metazoa; Chordata; Mammalia; Rodentia; Caviidae
Rfam family: tRNA
About the family: Transfer RNA (tRNA) molecules are approximately 80 nucleotides in length. Their secondary structure includes four short double-helical elements and three loops (D, anti-codon, and T loops).
Source: Rfam